RNAcentral lists this long non-coding RNA (629 nucleotides) under Homo sapiens (human). RNAcentral describes it as "non-protein coding lnc-FAM208A-1:1". The record is from RNAcentral. Lineage: Eukaryota; Metazoa; Chordata; Mammalia; Primates; Hominidae.
GGGGAUACAGCUGUGAGAGGCAGACAAGCGGGAAGAAAACUCUUUGAAAAUGGACUUUUAGAAAUCUCUGAGUGGAGUUAUUUUCUGGUACGGACUGUGAAAAGAAUGCGGUGAAAAUUCUGGACAAUCGUGGAAAUAUUAGCUCAAACCCCAACUUAAUAUAGCAUUUCUUCUCUUCAGUAACACCUCAUAAUACAAGAAAAAUGUAUGGAAGUGCAAGAACAAUCACCAAUCUGGAAGGUAGCCCUUCCAGAUCCCCUCGUUUGCCAAGGUCUCCUCGUUUGGGCCACCGAAGAACAAGUAGUGGGGGAGGUGGAGGAACAGGCAAGACUCUGUCUAUGGAGAAUAUCCAGUCCCUCAAUGCAGCCUAUGCUACGUCUGGACCCAUGUAUCUGAGUGAUCAUGAAGGGGUGGCUUCAACAACCUACCCAAAGGGCACUAUGACUCUGGGAAGGGCUACAAAUCGAGCUGUAUAUGGAGGCCGUGUCACAGCCAUGGGGAGUAGUCCCAAUAUUGCUUCUGCUGGACUUUCCCACACAGAUGUCCUUUCAUACACAGAUCAACAUGGUGGGCUGACUGGCUCAUCCCAUCAUCACCACCACCAGGUCCCCUCCAUGUUGAGGCAGGUA